CGUCACCGGCGGGGGUGCACCAUCUGGUGGAGUCCCUCAGCGCCCUCCAGGGGGAGAGAAGUCGACUGGCAGAGGAGGUGGCCGGCCUGCGCCAGCGGGCGGACGAGCAGGAGAGGGAGAAGCAGCGGCUGGCGGGCAGCUUCCAGCGUCAGAUCCAAGGCCUGAAGGAGCAGAUCCAAGAGCGGGAAGAAGAACUGGAGCAGCUUCGCCUGGGCACGGGCGUGACCGACUCCGAGAAGCGCAUCCACAACCUGACGGUGGAGAACGAGGGGCUAAAGCAAAGCCUGAACAUCACCCAGGGGCUCCUGCAGCAGCUGGCCACCACCCCCACCCCUCCACCGCCCCUGCUGGUCAAGGUGAGGCCCUGCCGUGGGCCGGCCGGGACGUGGCCACCAUGCCGCAGGCGGCGGUUCUCCUCUAGAAACAGGAGAGCCACCUCUUGGCAGUGGCGUUUCAGAAAUCCUACAAGUUGAGGUUAAAAAAAGGAUAAGGAUGUUUCUCUGUAUGGAAGGAGAAGCAUGGAAAGCGUAUUGGAGGGAAAGCAGGUCUUUCCAGGGGAGGAUGGACCUCACUAAAUGCACACAGGAAAAAAAGAAAGAAUAUAAUGGGGAAAGUGGGACAAUUCUGCUUUUGUACGUUUCUGAGUGUAGGCGCUUCCCCUGUCCAAAAAAAAAAAAACUGGGGAAGGGGCAGGGGUAGGGUGGGGGCUAUGUUGGAGGUUUUUAAACAAAGGUUUUUGGGGGCCAGUGGCCGUGGAUGCUUUACAGGUGGAUUUCCCGGGAUGGCCAGGUUGAGGGAGGGGGGCUCUUGAGGUCCCUUCCUGACAAGCCCCCUGUUCCCUGCUUCUCCGAUUCAGGAGGGUUGGGCUCGAAUAACGAAAAUUAAUAACAAAAAGCUGUGAUAGAAGCGCGUUACAGGUGAAUGCAGCCGACGAAGGGCUCGGGAGGUGGUCUUUCGAGAGGCCUGUCCUCUCUCUCUCUCUCUGCUGUCCCUGCCCCAUUUCGGCAAGUGUCGGCGAAAGGACCCGGCGGGCUGGCGCUUGGUGCUGGCGCUCUCGAUGGGGCCCUGGGCCGGUUUCUGUUGUCCUGCAGGGAUUGGGAAUCUGGCUGAGUCCUGGACGAUCUUUGAGCACUUGGCCCCCCCCUUCUCUUUCUGAGGAGGUGGGUCUUAAGGGAGUGGAGGCUCCAUGGGCUGGGGG
RNAcentral lists this long non-coding RNA (1198 nucleotides) under Pogona vitticeps (central bearded dragon). RNAcentral's name for it is "lncRNA (ENSPVIG00000014832.1)". The record is from RNAcentral. Lineage: Eukaryota; Metazoa; Chordata; Lepidosauria; Squamata; Agamidae.